GUUGCUGCCAUUGCCUGAUCUAAUGCUGAACUGUUCUUACUGUUUAGGGGUGGAGUGCCAUGGUGCCCCAUCACAGGGCUCAAUGAUACUGGAACAAUAGAUGCAAGAGCUGGUGGAAUCGGUAUAAUAGGAGCACUACCCAUGGGCAUAGCAGGCAUAGCUGGCCCUCCACCUCCGGCAAGGGGAGGGACUGUAAUGCUGCAAGAUCAAAAGAGUCAUUGACAAGUUGCCAGGAAAGAAGAAAUGUAUGACAGUUUCUCAUGUUACCUCUUAACUUCAUCAGCUGCUAUUCUAGCUUUUAGAUCCUGCAAUUCAUCUGGAAUAACCCAUCGUGAUUCCUUGGUAUCCACAUUAUGAUAGUAUGUUUUGCCAUUUUCUGAAAUAUAUUCCUUCCAUGGGCA
Long non-coding RNA from Frankliniella occidentalis (western flower thrips), 401 nucleotides. RefSeq lists it as uncharacterized. Lineage: Eukaryota; Metazoa; Arthropoda; Insecta; Thysanoptera; Thripidae. The transcript is spliced from 2 exons. The record is from RefSeq and is a predicted model, not a curated record.